CAUUAAUUCGAUAAGGGAGUCAAAGUUGUAGGUUUUUGAAGUGAGAGAGACCUCCAGGUUUCGGGAUUCCAAUAAUAGAAGUGAGUUUCGUUUAACACAUGUGCGAGUUACAUGAGUCCCUGACCUUAGGAAUUCACAGAAAUUAGGUUUGCAUUUUGGUGUAAAUUUUCAUCAUGAUGUGCUAAUUCAAAUUAUUGUGAGUUAGAGCCUGCUUGAAAAGUGUAACAAACCAAAAGGGUGGACCUAUGUUUUCGACAUUUUAUUAUUGCAUCCAAGUUUUAUGCCUAUCAGAGUAAACAAAACCUCGAGGAAAAGGACUAGUCGAGUAAUUUGAAUUUUGAAGUGUAUUCUUUAUACGACAGAACACCUUGAUGGCUUCAGCGAUAUCUUAUCUAAGCGAACUGGGUUUCUUACCCUGGUUUCCAGUAGCUAUUCUAUCUUUUGAGAAAAAGAUUUUGCUUAAAUCUAGAGAUAGCUAGGGUUUGGAAUUAAGUGGGACAGCCUAGUUCUUCCGAGAGUUGGGUGCAAUCCCAAAUGAUAUACCUCAAGUCGCCUGGAGACGAUAAUAUAAGUUUAGGCACAUUUUUGCAGUUUGUUGGAUCCGUGUGUAUUUUGAAGUAUCUAGAAACUACAUUUGAGGGCACUUAUCUUCCUUUUCUUCUUUAUGUUGGCUUACUACCAUUAGCAUUUAUAAUUUCUUACGAGGUAAUUUUUGCAGUGCAACGAAAUCAGAAAGAUUAGCAGCAGCAUGGCUGUGAUUGGGAAAACCGCUGUCGACAACGAUAAAGAAGACUACGACAAUGAUCCUGACGAUGACGACGUAGACAAUGCAGAGGACUCCGAGGGGGAAGAGUUUGAGCAGGAAACCAGUUGAAAUUGCUGACUACCCUCGUUCUGUUUCUGUUUGGACGGCCACAAACCUACAUCGAAUGCGGCUUUUAAGUUCUUUACGCGUAUCGUCAUACAUUAUCUUAAACAAAUUUGCUGAACUGUGCCACUUCUCUCUAUGGAUAAAGAUAAAGCUUGUGCCUUUUGUGUUUCUCUGUCCUCUUUCAUGGUCCUUAAUUAGUACUAAAACAUAUCCGUACUCUUGCUUGUGAAAAAGAAAAAGAAAAAGGAAAAGAGAUCAUUCAAGAAGGUAGUGUCUUCCACUUACGAGCCGUUCAGACCUUUUUACUUUAGGAUAAGAACUUACAUGAAACGAGUUUGUUGCUUCGUGGCGUCUUGUAUCCAAUAAUACAUUGACGAGUGCAAGCUUUUCUUCACAUGAUAAUAUAUUAUUAAAAUGGACAUCAUGUGACGGUGGACUCAUUUCAUAUAAGUUGCUCCCUAAGUUUAAAGAUAUGUACUAAAGAUAUUGUUAAUAUGUGUUAUUGGAGUUUCAAUGGAUUAGGUAGAUGGGCAGCUCCCGGAAAUUUGAUUUUUGUUGCCCUUGCCGGGAGGCGUUGGAGGAUGUUGGUCCAACAAUUGGGGAUGAAUUUCAAAUCCGUAUUCGAAACGGUAUGUUCUGAAUUCAAUUACUAACGCUGGUAAACACGCGAUGGUGGUCAGAACGAGACUAAAAUAUGAGUCUUCCCGGCACCAGACUAUCGUGACAAAACCGUCAAAUGAUCUUUUUUGUAUAAAAUAGGUAAAUUGCUUAGAUUGAAUUUUUCUUUGCAAGAAUUAUAAUACUUAAAAAAAUAGACAGUUUAGAUUGCUGUAAAACAACGUCGAGCCGGCUCCUAAAACUUCUCCAUUCUUUAGUUAUCACUUCCUUUGAAACUAUUCGUUAAGUCAAAUAGCUCAAAUUAGUCUAUUUUCCUUUAUGCAUAUAUACGAAUUGCCCCUGAUUUCGAGCUAAGUGAAAUUUCAAUCCAAAUGACAAAGAGGGAAAUGCUCCAAUGGCUGGAGAUUUUGACAAAAAGGAGCCCUGAUUUGAAGUUUUGAAGGCUAAUGAAGUCUAAUUUUGAGAAAAAAGGAGCCUAAUUUUGUGAAAUUGUAACCAAAGUAACAAAUAUUUUUUUAUUUUUUUAUUUUUUUAUCACCAUUUGAUUUGGAGGAUCGAAUUAUUUCCUCUGUUUUCUUUUGUGCUAGUUUUUGUGGGAAAUUCUUCGUAGGGUAAGAUAUGCUUGUAAAGCUUCGAAGGAUUUUGUUUGGUUUACUUGGAUGCACCUUGUCGAAAGUUCCUUCUUUUGGUGGUCCAAAAUUUGAAACGUUUCGGUUUUUAAUCCUAUAAGCUGUGUGAGCUCUACUGAUGAUUACGAAACGUUUGUUUUGGUCACAUUUGUUGUCUGUAGGUGUAAGAGCUAGGUUAAGUUAUGGAAAACUAAGAAAGUUGGAUUAUUUUGAGACUUGGUAGCCUUAAUGCCUGUGUACUGGAUUCAAAUUCUCGUUGCUAUGUAUGUCUCGUUCGGAGUCUGUAAUUCUCCGUUUUGAUUCUGAACAUUAUAUGUUUGUGGCGGCGAAUCAUGCCACUCCUGUGGGGAAGGACAAAGGACAGCAUCCUAACACAGCAUUAGAAUCCAGCAGCUAGAAGAACGGGCACUGCUCAAUGAUUUUUUUCCUUGAAGUGAGAGAGACCUCAUGGUUUCGGGAUUCCGGUAACAACUUUUUUUGCUUAAAUCUAAAGAUAGCGAAGGUUUGGAAUAAGUGGGAGGAUGCCCGGAAGGCAAGCAAAUGUCUCAUGGGGGACAGCCUCGUUCUUCCGAGAGUCGGGUGCAAUCCCAACUGGUAUACCUUAAGUCGCCUGGAGACGAUAAGUGAAGGCACAUUUUUGCAGUUUGUCGGAUCUGUGUGUAUUUCUAAGUGUCUUCAAACUACAGUUACGUUAUUAUAUCAUUAUACUACUGUGUUUUAGCACUUAUCUUUCUGUUCUUCUUUAAGUUGGCUUCAUCUGAGGUAAUUUUUGCAGUGCAAUGAAAUCAGAGAGAGUAGAAGCAGCAUGGCUGUGAUUGGGAAACCGCUGUCGACAACGAUAAAGAAGACUACGACAAUGAUCCAGACGAUGACGAUGUAGAUAACGCAGAGGACUCCGAGGGGGAAGAGAUUGAGCAGGAAACGAGUUGAAAUUGCUGACAACCCUCACUCCGUUUCUGUUUGGACGGCCACAAACCUACAUCGAAUGCGGCUUUUAAGUUCUUUACGCGUAUCGUCAUACAUUAUCUUAUACAAAUUUGCUGAACUGUGCCACUUCUCUCCAUGGAUAAAGAUAAAGCUUGUGCC
Molecule: long non-coding RNA, 3204 nt
Filed under: Malus domestica (apple)
Lineage: Eukaryota; Viridiplantae; Streptophyta; Magnoliopsida; Rosales; Rosaceae
Description: long non-coding RNA (MDOM_LNC006288)
Source: RNAcentral